RNAcentral lists this transfer RNA (73 nucleotides) under Cavia porcellus (domestic guinea pig). It matches the Rfam family "tRNA". From Rfam's summary of the family: Transfer RNA (tRNA) molecules are approximately 80 nucleotides in length. The record is from Rfam by way of RNAcentral. Lineage: Eukaryota; Metazoa; Chordata; Mammalia; Rodentia; Caviidae.
GGGGGUUUAGCUCAGUGGCACAAGCACCUGCCUGGCGAGCAUUAGGUCAUGAGUUCGAUUCUCCAAAUCCUCC